CUACGGGUUGCAGCAGUGGGGAAUCUUAGACAAUGGGGGAAACCCUGAUCUAGCCAUGCCGCGUGAGCGACGACGGCCCUAGGGUUGUAAAGCUCUUUCAGCAGGGAAGAUAAUGACGGUACCUGCAGAAGAAGUCCCGGCUAACUCCGUGCCAGCAGCCGCGGUAAUACGGAGGGGACUAGCGUUGUUCGGAUUUACUGGGCGUAAAGCGCGCGUAGGCGGCUUGUUAAGUCGGGGGUGAAAUCCCGGGGCUCAACCCCGGAACUGCCCUCGAUACUGGCAGUCUUGAGUUCGGGAGAGGUGAGUGGAAUUCCGAGUGUAGAGGUGAAAUUCGUAGAUAUUCGGAGGAACACCAGUGGCGAAGGCGGCUCACUGGCUCGAUACUGACGCUGAGGUGCGAAAGCGUGGGGAGCAAACAGGAUUAGAUACCCUUGUAGUC
RNAcentral lists this ribosomal RNA (439 nucleotides) under uncultured bacterium. RNAcentral's name for it is "partial 16S ribosomal RNA". It matches the Rfam family "Bacterial small subunit ribosomal RNA", at positions 339 to 795 of the family's 1533-position model. The record is from RNAcentral.